Vitis riparia (riverbank grape) is the source of this 626-nucleotide long non-coding RNA. RefSeq lists it as uncharacterized. The record is from RefSeq and is a predicted model, not a curated record. NCBI's taxonomy places the organism in Eukaryota, Viridiplantae, Streptophyta, Magnoliopsida, Vitales, Vitaceae. The transcript has 2 exons.
AUUAGAUUUUUUUCCUUCUCAAUUUUUUAAAUUAGAUAAUGAUUAAUUCUAAACUAGUUGUUUUUCAAAUAUUUGUGAAGGCCUUUGCUCUACUCCCGACUCAAAGUCAGGAAGCGGUAAAAAAAUCUUACAUCUUAACUUUUACUCUCAUAAAAUCACGGUGAUAUUUUAAAAAUCAAGUGCAAAUAAAACAUCUAAGAGGAAAAGAAUCCUGUUAUUCAUAAACCACAGCCCUAAGCAUAAGGUAACCAAAAUUAAUGUAAGUAUUCAAGCAUUCAAAAUUCUUAUUCUUAAUGAUUAAAAAUUGAUUUUUUUGUAACAACUUCUGAAGUUCAUUAUCAAAUUAAUAGGAUGAAUGAUGAGGUGAAUUUUAGACUCUUACAAUAGGAUGAAUUCUUAUUCAAAAUUAUGAAACUUAUGUCUCCUCCAUCAGAACUGUUGCUUUAAGGGUGUGCAUGGCUGUGAUAUUUGGUGUUGGUGUGGGGUUUAAAGAUGGAGUUGGCAAGGCAUCGGAGGUUUUUUGCUGGGUAUGAAGGAACAUGGCUCUAUAUGGCAUAAUUGUAAAAAUUACCCAUGUGUGGAUUGGAUAUCUGUGGUUGUUGUAUGAACUUUUAUGAUCUUCCUUU